UUGAAGGCUUAAGCAAUUUGCCUAAGCCAUAUGGUAAGUAGGAGGUGGGAGACAGGUGUUGGACCCAAUUUCUAUUUUUUUUUUUUUUUUUUUUUUUUUUUUUGUACCAGGCCUUGAACUUGGCUCCUUGCAUGUGCGACGCAGGCAGUGGAACCAUUGUGCUAAAUCCCCAGACCUGAAUCCUGCUCUUUCAGCCCCCAUGUUUCAUAGCCAAAGGUGGUUCCUCAUCCCUCAUGUGGAUGGAUUUGGGG
This 251-nucleotide long non-coding RNA is filed under the name Fukomys damarensis (Damara mole-rat). RNAcentral describes it as "lncRNA (ENSFDAG00000031533.1)". Lineage: Eukaryota; Metazoa; Chordata; Mammalia; Rodentia; Bathyergidae. The record is from RNAcentral.